GAUGAACGCUGGCGGCGUGCCUAAUACAUGCAAGUCGAGCGAACAGACGAGGAGCUUGCUCCUUUGACGUUAGCGGCGGACGGGUGAGUAACACGUGGAUAACCUACCUAUAAGACUGGGAUAACUUCGGGAAACCGGAGCUAAUACCGGAUAACAUGUUGAACCGCAUGGUUCAACAGUGAAAGACGGUUUUGCUGUCACUUAUAGAUGGAUCCGCGCCGCAUUAGCUAGUUGGUAAGGUAACGGCUUACCAAGGCAACGAUGCGUAGCCGACCUGAGAGGGUGAUCGGCCACACUGGAACUGAGACACGGUCCAGACUCCUACGGGAGGCAGCAGUAGGGAAUCUUCCGCAAUGGGCGGAAGACUGACGGAGCAACGCAGCGUGAGUGAAAAAGGUCUUCGGAUCGUAAAACUCUGUUAUUAGGGAAGAACAAAUGUGUAAGUAACUAUGCACGUCUUGACGGUACCUAAUCAGAAAGCCACGGCUAACUACGUG
RNAcentral lists this ribosomal RNA (497 nucleotides) under uncultured bacterium. RNAcentral describes it as "partial 16S ribosomal RNA". It matches the Rfam family "Bacterial small subunit ribosomal RNA", at positions 28 to 507 of the family's 1533-position model. The record is from RNAcentral.